This 513-nucleotide ribosomal RNA is filed under the name Dacus diastatus. RNAcentral describes it as "partial 16S ribosomal RNA". It matches the Rfam family "Bacterial large subunit ribosomal RNA", at positions 1829 to 2597 of the family's 2925-position model. The record is from RNAcentral. Lineage: Eukaryota; Metazoa; Arthropoda; Insecta; Diptera; Tephritidae.
GUCUUUUUGAGUUAUUUUUAAAGUCUGACCUGCCCACUGAAUUUUUUUGAAUGGCCGCAGUAUUCUAACUGUGCAAAGGUAGCAUAAUCAUUAGUCUUUUAAUUGAAGGCUGGUAUGAACGGUUGGACGAGGUAUAAGCUGUUUCAUAUAAAUUUACAGUAGAAUUUUAUAUUUUAGUCAAAAAGCUAAAAUGUAGUUAAAAGACGAGAAGACCCUAUAAAUCUUUAUAUUUUAUAUGAUUUAGAUUUUUUUGAUUUGUUUUAUUUUUAUUGUAUUAGAUAUUUUGUUGGGGUGAUGUUAAAAUUUGAUGAACUUUUAAUUUUUUUAAGUCAUUAAUUUAUGAGUUAUUGAUCCAUUAGUAGUGAUUAUAAGAUUAAGUUACUUUAGGGAUAACAGCGUAAUUUUUUUGGAGAGUUCUUAUCGAUAAAAAAGUUUGCGACCUCGAUGUUGGAUUAAGAUAUAGGUUUAGGUGUAGCCGCUUAAAUGUUAAGUCUGUUCGACUUUUAAAUUCUU